AAGAGAGUAGAAGAAUAAUUGAAAAGAAUCAAGCCGCCGCGGCUUCUGGAGUGUUCUAUUAUUUUAGCUUCCACGGAUUUAUAGCCACCAAUUCCAUCCCCUCACUCACUACACCCUCUCUCUCUCUGCAGCCUUUCUCGCUCAGAUCUCUCACGAUAAGUUUCAGGAUCAGUGGGCUUUUUUUUCUUGGUCCCUCCAAUCUUGUUCAUCUGUUCAUAAAUAGAGAAUCUAUCAAAUCUCAAUAAUAAAUAAUAUAAUGACUCAUAUCCUUCCCUAGAUCAGCCUUUUCCCCCUACGGUUUGUUGUUUCUAUCCUCCUGUUUGGCUUCCGAGAAAAUCAGUAUCAAAACAAUUCAUUCAAAAAAUUAAUUUUUUUAUAAAAAAAUUAUUUUCUUGAUUGUUAGACGUUUUCUCGGAAACUAAACGGGUUAUAAUUUAUGCACGUGGAAUUUGGGU
Molecule: long non-coding RNA, 455 nt
Organism: Quercus lobata
Lineage: Eukaryota; Viridiplantae; Streptophyta; Magnoliopsida; Fagales; Fagaceae
Exons: 2
Source: RefSeq, a predicted model, not a curated record